Molecule: ribosomal RNA, 253 nt
Filed under: uncultured bacterium
Lineage: Bacteria
Description: partial 16S ribosomal RNA
Rfam family: Bacterial small subunit ribosomal RNA
Source: RNAcentral
UACGUAGGGUGCAAGCGUUGUCCGGAAUUAUUGGGCGUAAAGAGCUCGUAGGCGGUUUGUCGCGUCUGCUGUGAAAACUCGGGGCUUAACUCCGGGCCUGCAGUGGGUACGGGCAGACUAGAGUGCGGUAGGGGAGAUUGGAAUUCCUGGUGUAGCGGUGGAAUGCGCAGAUAUCAGGAGGAACACCAAUGGCGAAGGCAGAUCUCUGGGCCGUAACUGACGCUGAGGAGCGAAAGCAUGGGGAGCGAACAGG